UACGGAGGAUGCGAGCGUUAUCCGGAUUUAUUGGGUUUAAAGGGUGCGCAGGCGGUCUGUUAAGUCAGCGGUCAAAGCCCGGGGCUCAACCCCGGCCCGCCGUUGAAACUGGCAGUCUCGAGUUGGAGAGAGGUAUGCGGAAUGCGCGGUGUAGCGGUGAAAUGCAUAGAUAUCGCGCAGAACUCCGAUUGCGAAGGCAGCAUGCCGGCUCCACACUGACGCUGAGGCACGAAAGCGUGGGUAUCGAACAGG
This 252-nucleotide ribosomal RNA is filed under the name uncultured bacterium. RNAcentral's name for it is "partial 16S ribosomal RNA". It matches the Rfam family "Bacterial small subunit ribosomal RNA", at positions 524 to 776 of the family's 1533-position model. The record is from RNAcentral.